Molecule: ribosomal RNA, 254 nt
Filed under: uncultured bacterium
Lineage: Bacteria
Description: partial 16S ribosomal RNA
Rfam family: Bacterial small subunit ribosomal RNA
Source: RNAcentral
UACGUAGGGUCCGAGCGUUGUCCGGAAUUACUGGGCGUAAAGAGCUCGUAGGUGGUUUGUCGCGUUGUUCGUGAAAACUCACAGCUUAACUGUGGGCGUGCGGGCGAUACGGGCAGACGUUGAGUACUGCAGGGGAGACUGGAAUUCCUGGUGUAGCGGUGGAAUGCGCAGAUAUCAGGAGGAACACCGGUGGCGAAGGCGGGUCUCUGGGCAGUAACUGACGCUGAGGAGCGAAAGCGUGGGGAGCGAACAGG